GCAUAAUUUCUGGAAAUGAUAGAGUCCCACCGAGACUUGGCAAACAGGCCGUCCAUUUUCCCCUUGUUGCACAGUGUCACAAUGCCUCUUCUACAGAUGUGGCCCCCUGAGCUGUGAACUCCUUGAAGACAAGGACUAGAACAGUGCCUGGCACAGUCCAUGUUGUAUACAGGAGGAAGAGGAUGUGGCUGAGUGUGGCACUGGGGCACGUGAAUGCCCACAUGCAGAGGGGAUGCUUGACAAUUAAACCACCCAUAAAGCAAGGCAUUAUAAAUGGCUGUGAGUGUGGCCAGCAUUGACUUUGGGCAACAGAGCUCUGGAUUUGCUAAGCCUCACGGGUCCUCUAAGGCUGUGCUC
RNAcentral lists this long non-coding RNA (357 nucleotides) under Homo sapiens (human). RNAcentral describes it as "HSALNT0251997". Lineage: Eukaryota; Metazoa; Chordata; Mammalia; Primates; Hominidae. The record is from RNAcentral.